AAGUCGUAACAAGGUUUCCGUAGGUGAACCUGCGGAAGGAUCAUUAUCGAGUUUAAUUCCCAUUUAAUUGGGCAUUGUGCAUUAACUUGCACGGUUCAAUUAUUGGGAUUCUACUUGUACACACCUGUGCACCUUUGACAAAAUCUCUGGUGGUCCGCCUCUCGAGGUGGGACUUAGGCGAAUUUUUUCGCUCGCCGGGACUCGUCAUUUUUUACACCUGUUUGUAUGUCUUGAAAAUAUUGAUUGCGCCGUAAUGGAGUAAUCUUAAAAAUAAAUACAACUUUCAGCAACGGAUCUCUUGGCUCUC
This 307-nucleotide unclassified non-coding RNA is filed under the name air metagenome. RNAcentral's name for it is "partial contains small subunit ribosomal RNA, internal transcribed spacer 1, and 5.8S ribosomal RNA". The stretch from base 1 to 46 matches the Rfam family "Eukaryotic small subunit ribosomal RNA", at positions 1786 to 1831 of the family's 1831-position model. The record is from RNAcentral.